AUGUUCUACUUUACAGAUACAUGUGCACCAAAAAAGCAAUCUUGGAGGUAUUACAAUAUCUGACUUCAAGCUACACUAAAGAGAGCCAUAGACACAGCAAUAAAAGGAAGAGGCCUCCAAGUGACAACAACCAAACAGGACAAAACAAGAUAAAAGAAGACGUGACAAAAGCCCUCAUAUGGAGUGAGGCUGGACAAGGCAAGCCAAUAAGAGGAAAAAAGCUCCAAGAGCAGGCAAAAGAGUCCGAGACACACCCACUCCUACUGUGAGGAGUCUCACACAAACACCAAACAAACAGCUAUAAAAUGUACUCAGAGAACCUGGUGUAGACCCAUA
This is a non-coding RNA of Peromyscus maniculatus bairdii (prairie deer mouse), 336 nucleotides long. Lineage: Eukaryota; Metazoa; Chordata; Mammalia; Rodentia; Cricetidae. The record is from RefSeq and is a predicted model, not a curated record.